UCCUUCGGGAGGAAGACCAUUGUGACUGAGUGGCGACGGGUGAGUAACGCGUGGGUAACCUGCCUUGUACAGGGGGAUAACAGUUGGAAACGACUGCUAAUACCGCAUAAGCGCACAGUACCGCAUGGUACGGUGUGAAAAACUCCGGUGGUACAAGAUGGACCCGCGUCUGAUUAGCUUGUUGGUGAGUAACGGCCCACCAAGGCGACGAUCAGUAGCCGACUUGAGAGAGUGAUCGGCCACAUUGGGACUGAGACACGGCCCAAACUCCUACGGGAGGCAGCAGUGGGGAAUAUUGGCACAAUGGGGGAAACCCUGAUGCAGCGACGCCGCGUGAGUGAUGAAGUAUUUCGGUAUGUAAAGCUCUAUCAGCAGGGAAGAUAAUGACGGUACCUGACUAAGAAGCACCGGCUAAAUACGUG
This 422-nucleotide ribosomal RNA is filed under the name uncultured bacterium. RNAcentral describes it as "bacterial SSU rRNA". It matches the Rfam family "Bacterial small subunit ribosomal RNA", at positions 76 to 507 of the family's 1533-position model. The record is from RNAcentral.